This 508-nucleotide ribosomal RNA is filed under the name uncultured bacterium. RNAcentral describes it as "bacterial SSU rRNA". It matches the Rfam family "Bacterial small subunit ribosomal RNA", at positions 43 to 523 of the family's 1533-position model. The record is from RNAcentral.
CAGGCCUAACACAUGCAAGUCGUACGAGAACUCUUCUGCUUGCAGAAGAUAGUAAAGUGGCGCACGGGUGAGUAACGCGUGGGUAAUCUACCUUCGAAACGGGGAUAACUCCGCGAAAGCGGUGCUAAUACCGGAUAAUAUCCAGACCCUCCGGGGUUCUGGAUCAAAGGUGGCCUCUACAUGUAAGCUACCGUUUGAAGAGGAGCCCGCGUACCAUUAGCUUGUUGGUGGGGUAAAGGCUCACCAAGGCUACGAUAGUUAGCUGGUAUGAGAGGAUGAUCAGCCACACUGGAACUGACACACGGUCCAGACUCCUACGGGAGGCAGCAGUGAGGAAUUUUGCGCAAUGGGGAAACCCUGACGCAGCAACGCCGCGUGAGUGAUGAAGGCCCUCGGGGAGUAAAGCGAUGUACAAGUGGGAAGAAACUGCAUACAAGGAAAUACCGUGAUGCACUGACGGUACCACUGAAGGAAGGACCGGCUAACUCCGUGCCAGCAGCCGCGGUAA